RNAcentral lists this ribosomal RNA (507 nucleotides) under uncultured bacterium. Its description in RNAcentral is "partial 16S ribosomal RNA". It matches the Rfam family "Bacterial small subunit ribosomal RNA", at positions 28 to 507 of the family's 1533-position model. The record is from RNAcentral.
GACGAACGCUGGCGGCGUGCUUAACACAUGCAAGUCGAACGGGCCUUGUCCCCUUUUUUUUGGGGGUGGGGUUAGUGGCGAACGGGUGAGUAACACGUGAGUAACCUGCCCCUCACUUCUGGAUAACCGCUUGAAAGGGUGGCUAAUACGGGGUGUUCUGGCCUGCUCGCAUGGGUGGGUUUGGAAAGAUUCGACCGGUUUUGGUUGUUUUGGUGGGGGAUGGGCUCGCGGCCUAUCAGCUUGUUGGUGGGGUGAUGGCCUGCCAAGGCUUUGACGGGUAGCCGGCCUGAGAGGGUGGGCGGUCACACUGGGACUGAGACACGGCCCAGACUCCUACGGGAGGCAGCAGUGGGGAAUAGUGCACAAUGGGCGCAAGCCUGAUGCAGCGACGCCGCGUGAGGGAUGGAGGCCUUCGGGUUGUGAACCUCUUUCGCCAGUGAAGAAGGUCCUGCUCUUUGUGGUGGGGUUGACGGUAGCUGGGUUAAUGAAGCGCCGGCUAACUACGUG